GAGCGUGCGGUUUAAUUGGAUCAACACCGGGAAAACUCACCAGCAGCGACUGUUACAUGAAAGUCAGGCCGAUGACCUUACUAGAUUUUCAGAGAGGUGGUGCAUGGCCGUCGUCAGUUCGUACCGUAAGGCGUUCUCUUAAGUGAGAUAACGAACGAGACCCUCACCAAUAAUUGCUACUGCAUCGUCCGCGAUGUAGGCACAUUAUUGGGACCGCUGGCGCAAAGUCAGAGGAAAAAAAAGGUCAACGGUAGGUCAGUAUGCCCCGAAUCUGCUGGGCUACACGCGCGUUACAAAGGGCGGGACAAUGGGCUCCGACGCCGAAAGGCGAAGGCAAUCUCGAAACCCGUCCGUAGUUCGGAUUGAGGGUUGUAACUCACCCUCAUGAAGCUGGAUUCCGUAGUAAUCGCGAAUCAACAACUCGCGGUGAAUAUGCCCCUGCCCCUUGCACACACCGUAA
Molecule: ribosomal RNA, 460 nt
Filed under: uncultured methanogenic archaeon
Lineage: Archaea; Methanobacteriati; Methanobacteriota
Description: bacterial SSU rRNA
Rfam family: Archaeal small subunit ribosomal RNA
Source: RNAcentral